ACCCGGGCUGCGGAGCGCGCACCCGGCGCAGUUUUUGGCUGCUGUUUCACCUGCAAGAACUAAAGCCUUGUUAAGUUUUUAACGCUACUGAUCUUGGUGAAUUGCCUUAAAAGCGGCGCUGAUCGUGUUCGCUUCCUGCCUGUACUGCUGAAAUAAUGUAGCGGAAAUGAUAGCCGAGCCCAAUACAGCCAGUAACCUUCCUAGCCAAAAUACAAGUCAACUGGCUUCAUGUCCUGGCCACCAUAGUUUAAAAGGAGGCCAUAGCAGCCAGCUACCAGUACUGGACCUGCUGCACAAGUGGGAUCCAGCUCAUCUGCUCAAACGUGACCUUUGGCAAAGCCUAUUGUUAGCACUGGGAAUGAUGAAAAGUGGCAUGAUUUCAUUACAGAUAAAUGUAUGGGCUUCAGAUCUCCCAGAAGAGAGAAUGCUGUCCAUGAUGAAACUGUGCCUGAAUCUACUGUGCAGAAUGGCAGCUGUGUGAGAAAUAGCAACCUGAAAACACCA
RNAcentral lists this long non-coding RNA (504 nucleotides) under Strigops habroptila (Kakapo). Its description in RNAcentral is "lncRNA (ENSSHBG00005010845.1)". Lineage: Eukaryota; Metazoa; Chordata; Aves; Psittaciformes; Psittacidae. The record is from RNAcentral.